This 253-nucleotide ribosomal RNA is filed under the name uncultured bacterium. RNAcentral describes it as "partial 16S ribosomal RNA". It matches the Rfam family "Bacterial small subunit ribosomal RNA", at positions 524 to 776 of the family's 1533-position model. The record is from RNAcentral.
UACGUAGGGUGCAAGCGUUAAUCGGAAUUACUGGGCGUAAAGCGUGCGCAGGCGGUUUUGUAAGUCAGAUGUGAAAUCCCCGGGCUUAACCUGGGAACUGCGUUUGAAACUACAAGGCUAGAGUGUGGCAGAGGGGGGUGGAAUUCCACGUGUAGCAGUGAAAUGCGUAGAGAUGUGGAGGAACACCGAUGGCGAAGGCAGCCCCCUGGGUUAACACUGACGCUCAGGCACGAAAGCGUGGGGAGCAGACAGG